This 418-nucleotide ribosomal RNA is filed under the name uncultured bacterium. RNAcentral describes it as "bacterial SSU rRNA". It matches the Rfam family "Bacterial small subunit ribosomal RNA", at positions 37 to 433 of the family's 1533-position model. The record is from RNAcentral.
UGGCGGCGUGGAUAAGACAUGCAAGUCGAACGGGGCAGUUCUGGUAGUAAUAUUAGAAUUGUUCAGUGGCGAACGGGUGCGUAACACGUGGACAACAUUCCGGGAAGCGGGGGAUAGCCCAGGGAAACUUGGAUUAAUACCGCAUGUGGACGAGUGAGGCAUCUCACGAAGUCUAAAGGGUGGGGACCGCAAGGNCUGCCACUUCCCGAUUGGUCCGCGGNCUAUCAGCUAGUUGGUGAGGUAAAGGCUCACCAAGGCUACGACGGGUAGCUGGUCUUAGAGGACGACCAGCCACACUGGGACUGAGACACGGGCCAGACAACUACGGGUGGCAGNAGUCGAGAAUCUUUCACAAUGGGGGGAAACCCUGAUGGAGCGACGCCGCGUGGAGGGAUAAGGUCUNCGGAUUGUAAACUCC